AAACAUCUUUGGGGAAAAAAGAGGAAAAAAAACCCCAAACCCCACAACCAGGGGGGCGAGGAGUGUCGGGGGGGGGACACACAACCUCUACCCCUGGGCAAAUUGUAGCAAAAAAACCUCAUUUUUUUUGUUCUUCCUCCCCACAAGGUCCAACCCUCACAAGAGUCAUUUCCUGCCUCCGUUGGGACGGGUCAAGAAAUUCCGAGGAGCGGCGGCACCGGACGGGACCCAGGGAUAAGAUGACGAACUUUUUAAUUGCAGCGCUCUUGGUUUUGCAUUUUUUACCAGGGAAUGCUGAGACAGAAGAUGAGGAGAUAUCCGAGUUUUUAUACGACUACGCGUCUCGUUUCAGUGAUUAUUUAUAUGCCACUGUAGAAUAUUACUCCGAAAACACCACGUUGAUACCCACCAUAUACACCUACGAGGAGUAUCAGGAAGAGCUUCAGGAGUCGCUGGGAUCCCCCCUCCGAUGCCACCUCCCCCUCCUCAUCCUCCUCAGCCUCCUGGGUUUCCUGCUAUGACCCCCCCCUACCCGGCUCCUCCUCAGAAGGUACUAAAGCCCCCGUGGAUUUAAGCCCCUCAAAGUGUGUCUUUGAGCCAGCAAAAUUCAGUUCUUCCCAAAGCAGCACCAAGCAGUGCUUCGCAGCAACUUUAAAUAACUAAUUAAAAAAUAAUUCAGCUUUUUGGGCAUCCAGCCUCAACGCUGGGGGCAACCGAAGAAGCUUUUAUUCCUAUUAAUGACCUAAAAAAAGAGCAUUUUAGGGUAUUUUUCCAUAGCAGCCAAGUGGGAGCUUCAAGGGUGACAACAGCCUUUGGGUACCCCCAGCCCGACCCGGGGCUCGCUCCCCGCUGCUCCAACCACCCCAAAAUUCCCCUUUUUUCCAGAGGCUGGAGCUCAAUGAGAUCCCAGGUGCAGGAGAAACCCCCCCCCAGCCUGGUUUGAAACACAAUAGGAGGACGUGGCAACCACUUCCUCACCUUUUCCCCUCCUUUCAGACGCACACACGUGUGGCUUUGAUGAAGAAAAGAACCUCGUCACCGCCUCGGAAACGACAUCCUCCUCUCCAAAAGCCCUUCCCCGUUGCUUUUAGGAGGGCUGGGACUUUACAUCCCGAGGUUUUCCAGAGCUGGAAGGUGCCAUCCCGAGCUGGAAAAGUCCUGCAAACACCCGAGGAGCUUUGUCACGACUGGGUUUCUUUCCUUAUUUCCUAUUAUUCUCUUGUAAAUACAAACUCCCGACAAUAAAACAAUCAGCGGCCGGGCUCCGGCGUGAAGC
This 1276-nucleotide long non-coding RNA is filed under the name Calidris pugnax (ruff). RNAcentral's name for it is "lncRNA (ENSCPUG00000007812.1)". The record is from RNAcentral. Lineage: Eukaryota; Metazoa; Chordata; Aves; Charadriiformes; Scolopacidae.